UUUUACUUUAAGAGUUCCUCUCCUAGUGUGCAACUCUCUUCAGUUAACCCCCAAGUGAAGGAAGCCAUAUAACCACACCAUAUGUACAGCAGUGCUCAGGAGCCUGAUGGUCCAGGGUAGUAAAGGAGAAGGAUGAUCUAACCCACCUGCUGAUUCACUAACACCUGCAGAAGAAGAGAAGCAUCCAGUGGGAGGAACCACAUGCCCAGAAUUGCUAGGUGUGAGCAGCUGUAAGGGUCUUCCUACCUUGAUGAGGCUGGCCUAGAAUUUGGAAUCCUCCUGCCUCAGCCUGUGGAGUUGCUGGGAUUACUGAUGUGCAGUACUGUGCCCAACUUUUCAGGUUUAUUUUAAAAGUAUUUGAAGUUCCUACAACAUGGCAGACAUUGACAACAAAGAACAGUCUGAACUUGAUCAAGAUUUGGAUGAUGUUGAAGAAGUAGAAGAAGAAGAAACUGGUGAAGAAACAAAAAUCAAAGCGCGUCAGCUGACUGUUCAGAUGAUGCAAAAUCCUCAGAUUCUUGCAGCUCUUCAAGAAAGACUUGAUGGUCUGGUAGAAACACCAACAGGAUACAUUGAAAGCUUGCCUAGGGUAGUUAAAAGACGAGUGAAUGCUCUCAAAAACCUUCAAGUUAAAUGUGCACAGAUAGAAGCCAAAUUCUAUGAGGAAGUUCAUGAUCUUGAAAGGAAGUAUGCUGUUCUCUAUCAGCCUCUAUUUGAUAAGCGAUUUGAGAUCAUUAAUGCAAUUUAUGAACCUACAGAAGAAGAAUGUGAAUGGAAACCAGAUGAAGAAGAGGAAAUUUCGGAGGAGCUGAAAGAAAAGGCCAAGAUAGAAGAUGAGAAAAAAGAUGAAGAAAAAGAAGACCCUAAAGGAAUUCCUGAAUUUUGGUUGACUGUUUUUAAGAAUGUUGACUUGCUCAGUGACAUGGUUCAGGAACAUGACGAACCUAUUCUGAAGCACUUGAAAGAUAUUAAAGUGAAGUUCUCAGAUGCUGGCCAGCCUAUGAGUUUUAUCUUAGAAUUUCACUUUGAACCCAAUGAAUAUUUCACAAAUGAAGUGUUGACAAAGACAUACAGGAUGAGGUCAGAACCAGACGAUUCUGAUCCCUUUUCUUUUGAUGGACCCGAAAUUAUGGGUUGUACAGGGUGCCAGAUAGAUUGGAAAAAAGGAAAGAAUGUCACUUUGAAAACUAUUAAGAAGAAGCAGAAACACAAGGGACGAGGGACAGUUCGUACCGUGACUAAAACAGUUUCCAAUGAUUCUUUCUUUAAUUUUUUUGCCCCUCCUGAAGUUCCUGACAGUGGAGAUCUGGAUGAUGAUGCUGAAGCUAUUCUUGCUGCAGACUUUGAAAUUGGUCACUUUUUACGUGAGCGUAUAAUCCCGAGAUCAGUGUUAUACUUCACUGGAGAAGCUAUUGAAGAUGAUGAUGAUGAUUAUGAUGAAGAAGGUGAAGAAGCGGAUGAGGGUUAUCAGCUCUUUGAAGAAGUCAAAAGCUGCAGUAAACUUUUUCAACGUUGGCUGCAGUAAAUCUUUUCAAUAAAAGCUGUCUGGAUGUCUCAAGUUGUGUUGGGAAAUUUUUCAUAAUAGAAGCUUUCAGAUUAAAUUGCAUUAUCACCAAACUCUGUAAUCAUGAAAAAUCUGUUGACCCAUAGAGUAACUUGUAUUAAAUUUUGUACUAAAUUUUCCCUACAUUAUGAGCCAAUUUUUCCUAUUAUAUACCUACUUCAUGGAUGCAUUUUGAACUUUAAUAUAGGAAGGGGAAGAAGAAGGAGAUGAGGAAAAUGAUCCAGACUAUGACUCGAAGAAGGAUCAAAACCCAGCAGAGUGCAAGCAACAGUGAAGCAGGAUGUAUGUGGCCUUGAGGAUAACCUGCACUGUAAUAGCCUAUACACAACUAUUAUUUACUUACAGCCUUAUGUUUUUGUAUUUUCUUGGUAGACUCAAUAAUUUUUUUUUUAAAGGAAAGGAAUUGAUAUUUUAAAGACAAAUUUGUUCUACCUAGCAUUUUAACUAUAGCUUUUCUGUCGUAUCUGUUGAAUGCACAAAUUCUCACGCAUGUUCAUUCAUUGCUGCAGUUUGGUUCUUCUGGAAUAUUUGUAUCAUGUAGCUAUUGGAGUACAACUAUAAAAAUUAACAACUGUUAAAUUAAGCUAAAUGUUUUUUGUUUGCUAAUUUUUUUUCCUGAAGAACCAAAGUAGUUUUCAGCUGGUAGUAAGAGUGACUUUAAGUCUGCUUGCAAAGUUGUGCUUUUCAUUUAUUUGUUACAGAAAUGUAGUGAAUUUUUACUAAUACAACUCAUUUGAGAGAAGAAAAAAACCCAUAACAAACAUGGUUAAGAAUUUCCAGUAAGACCAAACUCGAUAACUGUUAGGAUUAUUAAUGAAGUGUAGUUAAUUUUAAGGAAACCUAACUCAUAAUUUGGUUAUUGGUUAUUACAGGGAGGUGAAUAAAAUAAUUUUCAGAAGGUUAUUAACCUGAUAAAGUGUACUUGUAAUUUUAACUUCCAUUAACUAAGCAUCUUUUCUUUGUGGUAGGAUCUACCUUCUGCUUUCCUGGAAAGGAUGAAUUUACAUCAUUUGACGAGCCUAUUUCAAGUUUUUGUUGUUUGUUUGCUUGUUUUUGUUUUUGCAGCCUAAAAUAAAAAUGUCAAAUAUAA
This is an RNA transcript of Marmota monax (woodchuck), 2654 nucleotides long. It is a transcript of the gene named nucleosome assembly protein 1 like 1, with no coding region annotated. The transcript is spliced from 16 exons. Lineage: Eukaryota; Metazoa; Chordata; Mammalia; Rodentia; Sciuridae. The record is from RefSeq and is a predicted model, not a curated record.